RNAcentral lists this ribosomal RNA (253 nucleotides) under uncultured bacterium. Its description in RNAcentral is "partial 16S ribosomal RNA". It matches the Rfam family "Bacterial small subunit ribosomal RNA", at positions 524 to 776 of the family's 1533-position model. The record is from RNAcentral.
UACGUAGGUGGCAAGCGUUGUCCGGAUUUACUGGGCGUAAAGAGCGCGCAGGCGGUCGUUCAAGUCGCGUGUGAAAGCCCCCGGCUCAACUGGGGAGGGUCACGCGAUACUGAUCGACUCGAAGGCAGGAGAGGGUAGUGGAAUUCCCGGCGUAGUGGUGAAAUGCGUAGAUAUCUGGAGGAACACCGGUGGCGAAGGCGGCAUCCUGGACCAUAACUGACACUGAUAAGCGAAAGCCAGGGGAGCAAACGGG